RNAcentral lists this ribosomal RNA (746 nucleotides) under Salmonella enterica. RNAcentral describes it as "partial 23S ribosomal RNA". It matches the Rfam family "Bacterial large subunit ribosomal RNA", at positions 1 to 688 of the family's 2925-position model. RNAcentral also lists the same sequence under 3 other names. Lineage: Bacteria; Pseudomonadati; Pseudomonadota; Gammaproteobacteria; Enterobacterales; Enterobacteriaceae. The record is from RNAcentral.
GGUUAAGCGACUAAGCGUACACGGUGGAUGCCCUGGCAGUCAGAGGCGAUGAAGGGCGUGCUAAUCUGCGAUAAGCGCCGGUAAGGUGAUAUGAACCGUUAUAACCGGCGAUACCCGAAUGGGGAAACCCAGUGUGACUCGUCACACUAUCAUUAACUGAAUCCAUAGGUUAAUGAGGCGAACCGGGGGAACUGAAACAUCUAAGUACCCCGAGGAAAAGAAAUCAACCGAGAUUCCCCCAGUAGCGGCGAGCGAACGGGGAGGAGCCCAGAGCCUGAAUCAGCAUGUGUGUUAGUGGAAGCGUCUGGAAAGGCGCGCGAUACAGGGUGACAGCCCCGUACACAAAAGCGUAUGUGCUGUGAGCUCGAUGAGUAGGGCGGGACACGUGGUAUCCUGUCUGAAUAUGGGGGGACCAUCCUCCAAGGCUAAAUACUCCUGACUGACCGAUAGUGAACCAGUACCGUGAGGGAAAGGCGAAAAGAACCCCGGCGAGGGGAGUGAAAAAGAACCUGAAACCGUGUACGUACAAGCAGUGGGAGCCCCACCACUAAGCCAGUGGUGAACUCCACAUACGCAUCCUUUGCUGAGGAUACGGUUAACGGAGCGAAAGCGACGUUCAACCGCAAAAGAAGCAGAGGGGGCUUAGUGGUGGGGUGACUGCGUACCUUUUGUAUAAUGGGUCAGCGACUUAUAUUCUGUAGCAAGGUUAACCGAAUAGGGGAGCCGGAGGGAAACCGAGUCUUAAC